This 301-nucleotide ribosomal RNA is filed under the name uncultured bacterium. RNAcentral's name for it is "partial 16S ribosomal RNA". It matches the Rfam family "Bacterial small subunit ribosomal RNA", at positions 509 to 808 of the family's 1533-position model. The record is from RNAcentral.
CAGUCGCCACGGUAAGACGAACCGUGCGAACGUUAUUCGGAAUCACUUGGCUUAAAGCGCGUGUAGGCGGAUUGGUGCGUCGGUGCCUGAAAUCCCCCGGCUCAACCGGGGAACGCGGCCCGAAGCGACCAGUCUGGAGGGACGUAGGGGGAACUGGAACUUCCGGUGGAGCGGUGAAAUGCGUUGAGAUCGGAAGGAACGCCCGUGGCGAAAGCGAGUUCCUGGACGUCUGCUGACGCUGAGACGCGAAAGCUAGGGGAGCGAACGGGAUUAGAUACCCCUGUAGUCCCUGUCUCUUAUA